Long non-coding RNA from Coregonus clupeaformis (lake whitefish), 167 nucleotides. RefSeq lists it as uncharacterized. Lineage: Eukaryota; Metazoa; Chordata; Actinopteri; Salmoniformes; Salmonidae. The record is from RefSeq and is a predicted model, not a curated record. The transcript has 3 exons.
CUUAGGAAUGCCUCCUCCUGCUGCUCACACUGCACCACAAAGAUCCUGUAGACCUCCAGCAGGACAACAAGAAUGUUCUUGCAGAUUUUCCACUCGGGCUAUGACUCCAAGACAAGACAAGAUAAUGAAGAUGGUGCAAAAAUGGAGGUGCCGCUAUUGAUGUCAGA